This 772-nucleotide ribosomal RNA is filed under the name uncultured bacterium. RNAcentral's name for it is "bacterial SSU rRNA". It matches the Rfam family "Bacterial small subunit ribosomal RNA", at positions 8 to 794 of the family's 1533-position model. The record is from RNAcentral.
AGAGUUUGAUCAUGGCUCAGAAUCAACGCUGGCGGCGUGCCUCAGACAUGCAAGUCGAACGAUUAAAGCUCUCUUCGGAGAGUGCAUAGAGUGGCGCACGGGUGAGUAACACGUAAGUAAUCUACCCUCGAGUGGGGAAUAACGUCCGGAAACGGACGCUAAUACCGCAUAAUGCAGCGGCACCGCAAGGUGACAGUUGUUAAAGAUUUAUCGCUUGAGGAGGAGCUUGCGGCAGAUUAGCUAGUUGGUAAGGUAAUGGCUUACCAAGGCUACGAUCUGUAACCGGUCUUAGAGGACGGUCGGUCACACUGACACUGAAUAACGGGUCAGACUCCUACGGGAGGCAGCAGUCGGGAAUUUUGGGCAAUGGGCGAAAGCCUGACCCAGCAACGCCGCGUGAAGGAUGAAGUAUUUCGGUAUGUAAACUUCGAAAGAAUAGGAAGAAUUAAUGACGGUACUAUUUAUAAGGUCCGGCUAACUACGUGCCAGCAGCCGCGGUAAUACGUAGGGACCAAGCGUUGUUCGGAUUUACUGGGCGUAAAGGGCGCGUAGGCGGCGUGGUAAGUCACUUGUGAAAUCUCCGAGCUUAACUCGGAACGGCCAAGUGAUACUGCUGUGCUAGAGUGCGGAAGGGGCAAUCGGAAUUCUUGGUGUAGCGGUGAAAUGCGUAGAUAUCAAGAGGAACACCUGAGGUGAAGACGGGUUGCUGGGCCGACACUGACGCUGAUGCGCGAAAGCCAGGGGAGCAAACGGGAUUAGAUACCCCGGUAGU